This 61-nucleotide transfer RNA is filed under the name Rhopalus maculatus. Its description in RNAcentral is "tRNA-Gly". It matches the Rfam family "tRNA". Rfam says of the family: Transfer RNA (tRNA) molecules are approximately 80 nucleotides in length. Their secondary structure includes four short double-helical elements and three loops (D, anti-codon, and T loops). The record is from RNAcentral. Lineage: Eukaryota; Metazoa; Arthropoda; Insecta; Hemiptera; Rhopalidae.
ACUUUUUUAGUAUAAUUAAUAUAUUUGACUUCCAAUCAAAAGAUCUUGCUAAGAAAAAGUA